This is a long non-coding RNA of Leptopilina boulardi, 1430 nucleotides long. RefSeq lists it as uncharacterized. The record is from RefSeq and is a predicted model, not a curated record. Lineage: Eukaryota; Metazoa; Arthropoda; Insecta; Hymenoptera; Figitidae. The transcript is spliced from 4 exons.
UUCGUUUUAAAUUAAGAAAUGUUAAAAUUAUUAAGUUAAAAACAUUUGAUUUUAAUGACACUUAAAAUUAGACACAAUAUUAUAGGUUACUAACUAAAAAUUGAAAAAACAACAAUCAAUAAUAAAAAAUAAUAAUAAAAAAUUGAAAAAAUCAAAAAAUUCUUAAAAAAUUGCAAAAUAACCCUUUUUCGGGUUAAAAUUGAAAAAAGAUGUUACAUAAAAAUAGUUUGUAAGAUUUUCUAACAGCAUAUAAGCAAAGUAUUUUGAUUUAUUUAAAAAUAAUUGAAAAUAGAUUUUUCAAGGACGGUGUCGAGGUCACGGGGUCGGUGUCGUUUUUCGAAAUUUGUUAACUUAAUAUAAUAGAAGAUGUUUCGUUUUACAUUAAGAAAUGUUAAAAUUAUUAAGUUAAAAACAUUUGAUUUUAAUGACACUUAAAAUUAAACACAAUAUUAUAGGUUACUAACUAAAAAUUGAAAAAACAACAAUAAAUAAUAAAAAAUAAUAAUAAAAAAUUGAAAAAAUCAAAAAAUUCUUAAAAAAUUGCAAAAUAACCCUUUUUCGGGUUAAAAUUGAAAAAAGAUGUUACAUAAAAAUAGUUUGUAAGAUUUUCUAACAGCAUAUAAGCAAAGUAUUUUGAUUUAUUUAAAAAUAAUUGAAAAUAGAUUUUUCAAGGACGGUGUCGAGGUCACGGGGUCGGUGUCGUUUUUCGAAAUUUGUUAACUUAAUAUAACAGAAGAUGUUUCGUUUUAAAUUAAGAAAUGUUAAAAUUAUUAAGUUAAAAACAUUUGAUUUUAAUGACACUUAAAAUUAAACACAAUAUUAUAGGUUACUAACUAAAAAUUGAAAAAGCAACAAUCAAUAAUAAAAAAUAAUAAUAAAAAAUUGAAAAAAUCAAAAAAUUCAUAAUAAAUUGCAAAAUAAACCUUUUUCGGGUUAAAAUUGAAAAAAGAUGUUACAUAAAAAUAGUUUGUAAGAUUUUCUAACAUCAUAUAAGCAAAGUAUUUUGAUUUAUUUAAAAAUAAUUGAAAAUAGAUUUUUCAAGGACGGUGUCGAGGUCACGGGGUCGGUGUCGUUUUUCGAAAUUUGUUAACUUAAUAUAAUAGAAGAUGUUUCGUUUUAAAUUAAGAAAUGUUAAAAUUAUUAAGUUAAAAACAUUUGAUUUUAAUGACACUUAAAAUUAAACACAAUAUUAUAGGUUACUAACUAAAAAUUGAAAAAGCAACAAUCAAUAAUAAAAAAUAAUAAUAAAAAAUUGAAAAAAUCAAAAAAUUCUUAAUAAAUUGCAAAAUAAACCUUUUUCGGGUUAAAAUUGAAAAAAGAUGUUACAUAAAAAUAGUUUGUAAGAUUUUCUAACAUCAUAUAAGCAAAGUAUUUUGAUUUAUUUAAAAAUAAUUGAAAAUAGAUUUUUCAAGGACGGUGUCGAGGUCACG